UACAGAGGGGGCAAGCGUUGUUCGGAAUUACUGGGCGUAAAGGGCGCGUAGGCGGCCUGCUAAGUCGAACGUGAAAUCCCUGGGCUCAACCCGGGAACUGCGUCCGAUACUGGUUGGCUUGAAUCCGGGAGAGGGAUGUGGAAUUCCAGGUGUAGCGGUGAAAUGCGUAGAUAUCUGGAGGAACACCGGUGGCGAAGGCGGCAUCCUGGACCAAUAUUGACGCUGAGGAGCGAAAGCCAGGGGAGCAAACGGG
This 253-nucleotide ribosomal RNA is filed under the name uncultured bacterium. RNAcentral's name for it is "partial 16S ribosomal RNA". It matches the Rfam family "Bacterial small subunit ribosomal RNA", at positions 524 to 776 of the family's 1533-position model. The record is from RNAcentral.